AUAUAUAUAUUACAUCCAAGUUCGCAGUCAUUUGUACCAUUUCCCAGGAGCCACAGGUGUUUCCAAAGCAAGGCAGGGCACGGGGGUGCAGGAAGGGGGUUGGGUAAGGAAGCAGCCAGGGGCGGCCUCACAGAAGCUGCAGGAGCUUCAGCGAUUGUAAAAGGGCUACGGGCUCUGCAGAUGCCAGAUACUGGCAGCAAAGCCAGUCCUCCAGCUCCACCCCACGCCGGCGGUCCACGGCCUUUUCCGCGAACUUCAUCAUCAUCAGGGCCCGCUUCAUGUCGAUCCAGUUGUUGAGCGUGGUGCACAGCACCUCCUCCGACGUGCCCGGCUGCUCUACCAGCUCCCGCCGGGGCCCCCACAGCAGGCACUGCAGCACUCGCUUGGCCUCGUUGAUGCGAAUGCGCUUGAUAGGGUCGGCCUCCAGCAGCAGGUGGGCAAGCCGCUGCAGGCCUGGCGAGUAGAGGGACAGGGCGGGCAGUGGGGGUAGGUCCUCCUGUCGGUAGUCCUGCUCCCGCAGCUGGGCCCUCACUUCGAAAGGGUUGGGCUGAUGGAGCAGCUCAUAAAUGAGGAUGCCUGUUUGGAAUUCAUCAAACUUGCGGUACUGGGAGGCAGACACGAUCUCGGGGGCCAGGCGGGCCUGGCUCUUUUUCUGUUGCAGGUUGGUGGUGCUGCCUGGCUUCUGCUUGGCCUUCAAGAAAUUGCUGAUGAUGAGUCGGGGCAAGUGUUUCUCACUGGGCCCUCCCUGACAGGCGGGGGCAGCUGGCGGGGUCGGGGUGACGCUGGCUGGGAGGGCGGCAGAGGGACAAGAGGAAGGGGUAGCAGCAGGGGCAGGGGAUAUGGUGGUGGGAGGGGCGCUGGAAGCGGCGGCGGAGGAGAUGGGAGGGGCAGAGGGAGCGGGGGAGGGGCCAGGGGAGGCCUGGGGGCGCAAUGCACCAGCAGCAGGUUCUCCAGGCACAGGUCUCUGUGAAUGAUCCCGUGCUCCUUCAGGUGCUCCAGCCCGUUGCAGAGCUGUAAGAGCAGGAAGCACACGCGCCGCUCGUAAACCUCGGGCUCAGACUGAUGGCUGGUGGCUGAGUCCCGCACAAAGUCCGAGGCGGUCUGGUGGGGCACCUCUCGGGUGAUGACCACCACGCAGUCCUGCUCCUGGGAAGGGGGGUGUGAGGGCAGGGCAGGCAGAGGGACCUUGGGUGCAUCCGGAGAGGUGAGCAUGCUGGAGGGCACGGAGGCGACAAAGUGGCCACAGUCCUGCUGGAUGUUGAAGUGCACUGGCACGGAAGGACUGCAGUAGGAGGCUGCUUUGGGCUCAGGGGUUUUGCAGAUCUGUGGGGAAAAUGGGAAGUGAGGUCAAAAGCUGGAGUCAUCACUCUGUUCAACAAAUGGUGCUGGGGUAUUUAUCCACAUGCAAAAUAGUGAAUUAAAACCUUAGCUCACACUAGACAUACAAUUUAACUCAACAUGGAUCACAGAGACUAAGAUGUGAGAGCCCAAACAAACGUAUUUUCGAGGAAAACAUUAGAGAAUCUUUGAGACCUUGGGUUAGGUAAAGAUUUCUCAAAUACCACACCAAAAGCAUGGUCCAUAAAAGGAAAAAAAUGGAUAAAUGGACCUAUUGAAAUUCAAAACGUGUGUGCUUUGAAAGAUACUAAGAAAAUGGAAAGACAAGUAACAGAGUGUGAGGAAAUAUUUGCAAAACACCCAUCUGAUAAAAUGAUUUCUACCCAAGAACUCUUGUAACACAGUAGUGAGAUAAAUUACCUAAUCAAAAAGUGGGCAAACGAUAUCAAUAGGCAUUUCACCAAAGAAAUAUGUAAAUGGACAUAAACACAUGAAAAGAUGUUCAAUAUCAUGAGUCAUGAGGGAAAUGCAAAUCAAAACCACAAUGACAGACCAACCUGAUGCCCACCAGAAUGGCUAUAAUAAAAUGACACACAGUAAUAAGUGUCUCUGAGGAUGCUGAGAACUGGGAACUCUCAUAUAUUGUUGGUGGCAUAUAAAACGGUACCAUCACUUUGCGAUUAGGACAUUUCUUUAAAAGUCAAACCUCAAAUUAUCAUCCACCCCCAAGAAUGAGUUUCCUACAGCACAUGCAGUGAGGGCCCCUGGAAUUGGUAGGAAGACAUCUCCCUGCCCACAGCAUGGGCUGGACAAAUUCUCAUGGAGCCAGAUAAGAGCCUACGCAGGCAGUCAGCCUCAUCACCCAGCCCUCACACCUGAAUUGGCAGCUACCUGACAGCAGAUGUAUCUGACCGCUGGGAUGUUCCCUUCUUGGAGAAUCUCAGGGGCAGAUGCAGGCCCUGUAAACCUCUAGGGCUUGGUCAAAUUCUCUUAGGCUGCCCUAGUUUCUAGAUCCAGGUUAAUAUAUCUACUGGCUGGCACCACCUGCAGAGCUGAUUUUAGUGGAAGCGCUAAGUGGAAGUCACGCACUCUACCUCCAAGGGUGAGUCAUAGUAGCUGAAAGAAAACAGAAAGCUCUCCAGGGAAUGGGGAACCCAAAGAGCCCCAGGCACCCUCUGAACUGAAGGUGGGAAAGAAACAAGCAGAUGAUCUCAAGCUCCUCUGAGGAAUUCCCACACUGUCUUUCCCACCCCAUCUACAUCUUUCUGUCCUAAUGACAGUGCUGGCUACCAUAGAAUCUUGAGCAACAGGAAUCCUUCCCUGGUGGCCACACAACUGGAAAGUGAGUCUUGAGCCAGACAUAAUGGCCCCCUGCCAAGCCUCGAUUUCCUUCUAAUUACACUGAAAGGGACCGAAGGUGGUCUGUGGGUGCCCCUCUCAAAAAAAUACUGUGCCAUCCCAGCCAUGCUUUAUACAAAGUGAGGAUCAGUGUGUAAUCCUGAGAAGAAAGGCAUCUAUAAAAUAUCAUCCUGCAAACAAUCCCCAAAUAACCCUUUAGGCGGCUGCAUGCCACACUCGAACGAUUACAACAGUGUUUAUGAAGCCCCACAAUGCUUACAGGUGACGUUUUUAUAAGUUCUAUGCAAGCACCUUUUCAAAGAGAUUUAUUUACAUUGCAGCUCUACAAGCCUUCUCAGCAUUAAACCCAGCAUAAAAGAGCUCAGCUUCUGAGAAAACUCUUUAAAAGACAGUUGGGGAGCUGGGGGUUAACACAUUAAUUUAGUGAAUUCUCUAUUAGAGAAAUAGAAUAGAAAUAAAAGGGAAGUACACUUUAUCCCAGACUUUGCUUCCUAUUAUACUAAAAAAAAAAAAAAUGAUGUCCAAAGGGUAUUGCUGCAGGUUCUUUCUUAUCCUAGCCCAUCCAGCUGUAUUUGGUUUUUAAAUAAAUGGCAGUCUUCUGGAAAAUUAUUACACUAAAGGAAACUUGGGAGGAGUCCUUGGAAAAACAGUUUUGUGUAUAAAUAUCAACCACUGUGUAUGGACCUAGCUGCUGUGCCAUCUAAGGAUACAGAUGUUCAAGUCAUGCCCUCCAUUAAGGGCUACUCAACUACAGCGCGCACCUACUGAACUCUCGCACGGUGCCUACAAAGCAUUUUUCAUGUAGUGUCUCAUAAAAUCUCACUGAACUUGAUGAGGUAGAUGCUAUUACACAGGAGGAAACUGAGACUUUGAGAAGUUAAACUAUUUGCCCAAGUUUACACAUCAGAGAAGUGUCCCAGAGGUCAAAUGCGUGGGCUUUGGAGUGAAAGGGAUCUUAGUUUAAAUAGGAACUCCACAGACAUUGUCAAGUUACUCCUGAUUCUCAUUAUCUGCCAUUGUUAUGUUCUAUUAAGUAGCCACAGACACUGAAUGUGUGAAUGCUGAACCAUACUGCCCCUGGGGAAACACAGUGUGAAGUACUUGCAAGCCUCUGGUCACAAGAUGUUCACAACUGGCCAACAGAAAACCUUGUUGUAUGCGUCUUUCCCCUUCAAGAUGCCUUAUUCAUAGAUAUUGUUGAUGCACUAACACUGACUCAUGGCCAACAACACUGUAAGUCACACUGACCUAACACCCCUCAAAGGGGUUCCCACUGUGGCUCAGCAGUUAACGAACUCCACUAGGAUCCAUGAGGAUGAGGGUUCCAUCCCUGGCCUCGCUCAUUGGGUUAAGGAUCCAGCAUUGCUGUAAGCUGUGUUGCAGGUUGCAGAUUCAGCUCAGAUCUGGUGUUGCUGUGGUUGUGGUGUAGGCUGGCAUCUGUAGCUCCAAUUAGACCCCUAGCCUGGGAACCUUCAUUUGCCACGGUGUGACCCUUAAAAAAAAAAAAAAAAAA
This 4210-nucleotide long non-coding RNA is filed under the name Sus scrofa (pig). Its description in RNAcentral is "lncRNA (ENSSSCG00000056747.1)". The record is from RNAcentral. Lineage: Eukaryota; Metazoa; Chordata; Mammalia; Artiodactyla; Suidae.